GGAGUGGUGACCGAGUGGUUAAGGUGAUGCACUGAAAACCCACUGGGGCAUGCUCACGUAAGUUUGAAUCUUACCUACGUCC
This 82-nucleotide transfer RNA is filed under the name Taenia asiatica. It matches the Rfam family "tRNA". Rfam says of the family: Transfer RNA (tRNA) molecules are approximately 80 nucleotides in length. Their secondary structure includes four short double-helical elements and three loops (D, anti-codon, and T loops). Lineage: Eukaryota; Metazoa; Platyhelminthes; Cestoda; Cyclophyllidea; Taeniidae. The record is from Rfam by way of RNAcentral.